This 29-nucleotide non-coding RNA is filed under the name Rattus norvegicus (Norway rat). Lineage: Eukaryota; Metazoa; Chordata; Mammalia; Rodentia; Muridae. The record is from RNAcentral.
AGGCUUCAGUAGCUAUGCUUCUGUGGGUC